This 227-nucleotide long non-coding RNA is filed under the name Ananas comosus (pineapple). RNAcentral's name for it is "long non-coding RNA (ACOM_LNC012418)". Lineage: Eukaryota; Viridiplantae; Streptophyta; Magnoliopsida; Poales; Bromeliaceae. The record is from RNAcentral.
UUUCGUCCCAACUUUCAACAGUACAUUGUCUGCAGCCAAUAUAUUUAUCAAAAGAAAAGCAAAAUAUCCGAAGAUCCACUACCAACAACAAGUUGAUUGGAAGCGCGGCACAUCGAAGUAUCAAGCCACCUGAUACAUCUUUACUAAACCAAAAGUUCACAACCAAAACUGUCUAAACAUCGACUUUGCAAGUCGACAUUCAAAAUCAGAUCAACUUUGAACCAACU